RNAcentral lists this transfer RNA (76 nucleotides) under Actinobaculum suis. RNAcentral's name for it is "tRNA-Arg". It matches the Rfam family "tRNA". From Rfam's summary of the family: Transfer RNA (tRNA) molecules are approximately 80 nucleotides in length. Their secondary structure includes four short double-helical elements and three loops (D, anti-codon, and T loops). Lineage: Bacteria; Bacillati; Actinomycetota; Actinomycetes; Actinomycetales; Actinomycetaceae. The record is from RNAcentral. RNAcentral also lists the same sequence under 2 other names.
GCGCCCGUAGCUCAGUGGAUAGAGCGUCUGACUACGGAUCAGAAGGCCGGGGGUUCGAAUCCCUUCGGGCGCGCCA